CCUACGGGUGGCAGCAGUGAGGAAUAUUGGUCAAUGGCCGGAAGGCUGAACCAGCCAUGCCGCGUGAAGGUCAGUGCCCUAUGGGCGUUAAACUUCUUUGGUGCGGGAGCAAUAAUGGUCACGUGUGGCCAGACGAGAGUACCGUACGAAUAAGCAUCGGCUAACUCCGUGCCAGCAGCCGCGGUAAUACGGGGGAUGCAAGCGUUAUCCGGCUUUAUUGGGGUUAAAGGGGGCGUAGGCUGUGAGGUAAGUCAGCGGUGAAAUGCCCCCGCUCAACGGGGUGAAGUGCCAUUGAUACUGGCUUGCUGGAAUGCGGAUGCCGUGGGAGGAAUGUGUGGUGUAGCGGUGAAAUGCAUAGAUAUCACACAGAACACCGAUUGCGAAGGCAUCUCACGAAUCCGCGAUUGACGCUGAUGCACGAAAGCGUGGGUAUCAAACAGGAUUAGAUACCCCAGUAGUC
This 460-nucleotide ribosomal RNA is filed under the name uncultured bacterium. Its description in RNAcentral is "partial 16S ribosomal RNA". It matches the Rfam family "Bacterial small subunit ribosomal RNA", at positions 338 to 795 of the family's 1533-position model. The record is from RNAcentral.